CCUACGGGAGGCAGCAGUGAGGAAUAUUGGUCAAUGGUCGCGAGACUGAACCAGCCAAGCAGCGUGAGGGAUGAAGGUACAGAGUAUCGUAAACCUCUUUUGUCAGGGAACAAAGUCGGGGACGUGUCCCCGGAUGAGUGUACCUGAAGAAAAAGCAUCGGCUAACUCCGUGCCAGCAGCCGCGGUAAUACGGAGGAUGCGAGCGUUAUCCGGAUUUAUUGGGUUUAAAGGGUGCGCAGAUGGUCUGUUAAGUCAGCGGUAAAAGCCUGUGGCUCAACCCCGGACCGCCGUUGAAACUGGCAGUCUCGAGUGGGAGAGAAGUAUGCGGAAUGCGCGGUGUAGCGGUGAAAUGCAUAGAUAUCGCGAAGAACUCCGAUUGCGAAGGCAGCAUGCCGGCUCCACACUGACGCUGAGGCACGAAAGCGUGGGUAUCGAACAGGAUUAGAUACCCGUGUAGUC
Molecule: ribosomal RNA, 459 nt
Filed under: uncultured bacterium
Lineage: Bacteria
Description: partial 16S ribosomal RNA
Rfam family: Bacterial small subunit ribosomal RNA
Source: RNAcentral